Molecule: RNA transcript, 1874 nt
Organism: Glycine soja
Lineage: Eukaryota; Viridiplantae; Streptophyta; Magnoliopsida; Fabales; Fabaceae
Gene name: 2-hydroxyisoflavanone dehydratase-like
Exons: 2
Source: RefSeq, a predicted model, not a curated record
CUUAAAUGGAUCUUCCAAUCAUUCUCUUAAAAAGUUAACCCCUCUCCUCCCUGAAGAAAAAAACCAAGUCCUCUGUUCGUGUUCCUCGUUUCACAUGGCUUCCCCAAACCCAAAAGAGAUCGUUGCAGAGAUUCCUACCUAUAUCAGAGUCUUCAGCGACGGCACCGUGGAAAGGCCAAGAGAAACACCCUUUGUGCCACCCUCAAUUGAUGACCCUCAAACCGGAGUCUCAUCCAAAGACAUCGUCAUCUCACAAAACCCCUUAGUCUCUGCUCGAAUUUACCUUCCAAAACUUACCACAAUAAAUCAAGUUCCCAUCUUGGUCUUCUUUCACGGUGGUGGCUUCUUCUUCGAAUCCGCUUUCUCCCAACUCUACCACCACCACUUCAACACCUUCGUUUCCCAAACAAAUUGCAUAGUAGUCUCCGUGGAGUACAGGCUCGCCCCGGAGCACCCUCUCCCCGCAUGUUACCUCGAUUGUUGGGAAGCUCUCAAAUGGGUCGCAUCCCAUUCCAGCGAAAAUAGCCCCAUCAACGCAGAACAGUGGUUAAUUAGCCACGGCAAUUUCCAAAGAGUUUUCAUUGGAGGUGACAGUGCAGGUGGCAACAUCGUUCACAACAUUGCCAUGCGUGCUGGAACUGAGCCUUUACCUUGUGGUGUUAAGUUACUAGGAGCUAUUUUCGCCCACCCUUACUUCUGCAGCUCAUACCCAAUUGGGUCAGAACCUGUUACAGGGCAUGAACAGAGUUUACCCUAUGUGGUUUGGGAUUUUGUUUACCCUUCUGUACCCGGUGGCAUUGAUAACCCUAUGGUCAACCCAGUGGCUCCUGGGGCGCCUAGUUUGGCUGAAUUGGGGUGUUCCAAGAUUAUUGUGUGUGUGGCUAGCGAGGAUAAACUAAGGGAUAGAGGGGUUUGGUACUAUGAAGCUGUGAAGAAGAGUGGGUGGAAAGGGGAUCUGGAGUUGUUUGAGGAGAAUGGUGAGGAUCAUGUUUAUCAUAUCUUCCAUCCGGAAUCUGAGAAUGCCACGAAGUUGAUCAAACGCUUGGGUUUGUUUCUGAAUGAGUAGAAUAAAUGUCUUUGCUUGAUUUCUCCUGUUGUGUUGUGUGAGAAUAUGAAUAACAACAACCAUGGAAUGGUAUUCAUGUCAUCAUCUGCAUUAUUAAAUUCCCACAGGCUCGCCCCAGAGAACCCUCUUCCCGCAGCAUAUGAAGAUAGCUGGGAAGCUCUCAAAUGGGUAACUUCCCAUUCCAACAACAACACCAUCACCAACGCUGAAUAGUGGUUGAUAAAGCACGGUGAUUUCAACAGGUUUUACAUCGGGGGUGACACUGCAGGCGCCAAUAUUGCACACAAUGCAGUUCUUCGCGCGGGUGUUGAGAGUGAGAGUGUGAGUUUACUUGGGGGUGUGGAAAUAACGGGUGCGGUUCUUGCUUUUCCGUUGUUCUGGAGUUCAGAACCGGUUUUAUCCGAACCGGUCGAGGGGUUUGAAGAGAGUUCAGCCAUGCAAGUUUGGAAAUUUGUGUACCCUGAUGCGCCAGGUGGCAUUGAUAACCCUUUGGCUUCUGGGGCGCCUAGCUUGGCCUCUCUUGGGUGCCACAAGGUGUUGAUUUUUGUGGCGGGGAAGGAUGAUCUUAGGGACAGAGGGAUUUGGUACUGUGAUGCUGUUAAGGAGAGUGGGUGGGAAGGGGGUGGAACUGCUUCUAGUGGAGGGAGAGGAACAUUGCUUUCAGAUCUACCAUCCUCAAACUGAGAAUUCUAAGGGUGUGAUCAGUCGCAUAGCUGCUUUCCUUGUUUGAACACCAACUUCCUUCCUUUUUAAUAAUGUUCGUGAGGAAUUUUGGUGGAAAAACAUUUGCUAGUGGGAAUAAAUGGGA